This 357-nucleotide transfer-messenger RNA is filed under the name chicken gut metagenome. It matches the Rfam family "transfer-messenger RNA". From Rfam's summary of the family: Bacterial tmRNA, also known as 10Sa RNA or SsrA, is named for its dual tRNA and mRNA-like properties. Its role is to liberate the mRNA from a stalled ribosome. The record is from RNAcentral.
GGGGGCGAACAGGUUUCGACGGGGAAGUAGUGAAAUUUGCAUAAAGCGUGUGGCAGUGUGGACUCUGCCUUAAAAGCCACAAAAAAAUAAACGCAGAUUAUAGCGAAAAUUUAGUUGCUGCCUAAGCGCGCAACACGCCACUUUAAAUGCGCACGAGUUUAAAGUUUAGGCGUUCAAAAUUCGUGACCCUUUAAAACAAAUUUAGUGCUGUUUUGUUUUAAAAAAUUUUAAAGCGCUGGCAAAAGUGCACUUGUUUAUGACUGUGCUUUUGUGAGAGAAAAGAGCAUAAACUACACAUCGUAGAAAAGCAAAUUUAACCUUUUUCGGACGCGGGUUCAAUUCCCGCCGCUUCCACCA